This 202-nucleotide ribosomal RNA is filed under the name uncultured soil bacterium. RNAcentral describes it as "partial 16S ribosomal RNA". It matches the Rfam family "Bacterial small subunit ribosomal RNA", at positions 26 to 225 of the family's 1533-position model. The record is from RNAcentral.
AGAUUGAACGCUGGCGGCAUGCCUUACACAUGCAAGUCGAACGGCAGCACGGGAGCAAUCCUGGUGGCGAGUGGCGAACGGGUGAGUAAUAUAUCGGAACGUGCCCAGUAAUGGGGGAUAGCCCGGCGAAAGCCGGAUUAAUACCGCAUACGACCUACGGGUGAAAGCGGGGGGAUCGACAACGACCUCGUCGUUAGUUGGA